UUUCCAUGGAGCGUUCUGUAGCUCAAGUCCCGGAACCUGCUAUGUGUCCCUAAGAUCGCAGUGCUCACGAUCUGGGGAGAAAGUGCCCCUGCAGACCUGGUGUCCUCUCGACCUCCAGCUGGACGUGAAGCCAGCACUCGGCCCGCACAGAAACAAGGCACCCCUGCCACUGCACCAGAACAGGCCGGCGACGUCUCUGAGGCACCCAUUGCUCAUGCACACCUUCAGCACAGAGUUCCUGAGCACCGACUGUGAGCUGGCUCUGCUGUGGAUUCGGGGAAUGAACAGCAGGCAAAAUCUGGCUUCUGAGCUUAACUUUGUUGGAAGACAAUGGCAAGAAGCAAAUCUGUGAUUAUAGUAUGCAG
RNAcentral lists this long non-coding RNA (365 nucleotides) under Heterocephalus glaber (naked mole-rat). RNAcentral's name for it is "lncRNA (ENSHGLG00000049222.1)". The record is from RNAcentral. Lineage: Eukaryota; Metazoa; Chordata; Mammalia; Rodentia; Bathyergidae.